CUGCCAUGGUAGAAGUUUCCCAAGAGGCUCUGCCUCUGCAGGAGGCUUCUGCCCGCAAACAGUGGGCGGUGGUGUGGGUGGUGGUUCCUUCACCAAUGGUUAAUCUUCUUGAAGCUGAUCUCCUGAUAGUGAGUUCUCAUGAGAUCUGGUUGUAUAACAGGAUGUGGCACCUCCUUUCUCUCUCUGUCUUGCUCCUACUCCUGCCAUAUGAAAUAUCUCAUUGUCGCUUGGCCUUCUGGUAUGGUUAUGAGGUUCCUGAUCAGUGUGGGCCUCAUCAGUGGACCUAGUCAGUUGGGACUUGGUCAGUAAGGCCUAUUUACUGGGGGCGUGGUCAGCAGGGGUCUGCUUAGAGAGGGUCUCAUUAGGGGGAUCUAGUAGUGGGGUCUUGGUGAGUGGAGACCUAGUGGCAGCCACUUGUUUGGUGUCUGGUCAGUGUAAAACUAGGCUGCGGGACUUUGUCAAUGGAGACCUGGUCAGCUGGGGCUUCGUGGUGGCCUUGUCAGCAUGGGCUGGGUCACUGGUGACCAGCUCAAGGGGUGCUAUUCAGUGGAGGCCUGGUCACAUGGGACCUAGUCAGCAGGGCCUCCUGGCCAUGUCCUCAUCAGUGAGGCCCUUGUGAGUGGGGCCCUGGUCAGCGCAGCCUGGUCAGUGGGACCUAAUCAGUGGGGGCCUGUUCAGAGCGAGUGCAUUCAGUGGUGGCUUUUGUAGCACUGGCCUGUGGGUGACCUGGUCAGCGGGGAUCUGAGCAGUGGGUGCCUAUUCAGUGGGGCCUACUCGCUAGGGUCACAGUCAGGGGCAUCUGGUCACCUAAGGCCUGGUUAAUAGGGGCCUGGUCAGUGGCAGCCUGUUCCCUGGAGGCCUGGUCAGUGGGGCCUCAUCUGUGGUGCCAGGCAAUGGGGUCAUGAUCAGUGGAACCUGAUCAAUGAGGCCUAGUCAGUAAGGACCUGGUCAGCGAGGCCCUGGUCAGUAAGGUCCUGGUCAGUGGGGUCCUGGACACUGUGGGCCUAGCAGCAAGGGUCUGGUUAGUGGGGCCUGGUCAUGGGGUUCUAAUCAGUGAGGGUGUGGACAGGGAGGACCUGAUGUGCGGGAUAUGGCCAGCAGGGACCUGGUCAGCGGGGGCUGCUGAGCACUGCUGGGAGAUGUCAGGUGCGAUGCACGUUAUCGAGGGCCCUGUGGACAGUCGGGAUGGCCCAGUAGUGCCCAAAGGCCCAGUCAAAACUGGACAAAGCAGGUGUUUGGAUGGACCUGGGAGAUCUUGCUCAGAGAUUCCAACAGGACAAAGGUAAAGGAAGGGCCGGAGUGGCCAGAUAGAUGGUCACAGUCUAUGGGCUGCACAGGAUGGAGGAAGCCAGGGAACAGGCAGGGUGAGCAGCAGGGGUGCAGGGAGAGGCUGGUGCAUGCUGGGAGGUCAGACCCUGAGAGGGCUGUGGGGGCAUCAGGUGGGGUGGGCUCCAGGUGCACCUUCAAUGCACUGGGUGGGUCUCAGGCCAGGCUCCCUGGACCCUGGUCGGGUGAUGUGGUCACUCCCUGGGGGACUGCUGUCAGGCACCGGGCACCCACCAUGGGCAGCACUGUCCCAUCUCAGGACUGGACUUUCUCAGAUCCUGCAGAGGACACAGCCUCCAGCCCAGGAGGGGCAGCCCCUUGGUGCAGCCGGAGCUCUCCAUUGGCCUGGAGUGUCCCCUGCCAGCCCUCUGCUCCCUCUUCUCCCUGGUCCCGCUUUUCCAGUGUCAGCAAGCAGAGGGGCUCCGUCCUCCCUUCCCUAUGUGUCUCCUGGGCUGAAACUUGCAGCGGAAUGGGACAGGGAUGGUGCUUCCCUCAGGCCCAUUUAGGGAGGAGACUGACUCCCAGCCUGGCACAGGUCCUCAGCUCUGCCUUGGUUGCCUUAGAGUGAGCAGGAUCAGUCAGUGCCCUGAAGGUAGAGCUAAGAGACUCUCCUUGCUGUGUGAGGCUGGUCUAGGGAUGGAGGACUUAACAGGUCCUCCCAGUCUGUCAGGCCUGGACAGUACUGUCUUGUCUCAGGACUCAGAAAGUCCAGUCCUGAGAUGGGACGGUGCUGCCCAGGGUGGGUGGCCAGGGCCUGACAGCAGUCCCCCAGGGAGUGAUCACGUCACCCAGCCGGGGUCCAGGGAGCCUGGCCUGAGACCCGCCCAGUGCAUUGAGGGUGCACCUGGAGCCCACUCCACCUGAUGCCCCCACAGCCCUCUCAGGGUCUGACCUCCCAGCAUGCACCUGCCUCUCCCUGCACCCCAGAUGUCCACCCUACCUGUUCCCUGACUUCCUCCAUCCUGUCCAGCAGGAUGGGCUGGACAGUGGGACAGCCUGUGUGCACAUUUUGUGGCAAGUAGGAGUGACACCAUCCCUGGGAGGCACCAUGGUUCCUGCCAAACCCAACCCUAGAACUCUGUCCCUGAGGUCGUUUCACCAAAACCCAAAACCCAGAACUGUGGUUGUGGCUCAGGGGUCAGCACCUGCUAGUACCAGGACACUACUGGGAGGCUGGGACCUGACUGAAGCCCAUGGUGUCUGUGGCCUGAGGACAGGGUGUGUUGGGGCCAUAAGGCCCGGCCGCCAAUGGCCAUUGGGUCCUAGGGCCUCAGCCCCGGUGUUUGCCCUUCCCUGGCUCCUUCUUGUUCAGUCCCAUUAGGACCCUGGAGCCCAAGACCCAGCACCCAAGGUCCCCUCCAGGAAUGCUGGCAGUUUGGCUUCCUUUAUCAUGUUUCAUCUGAGAGCAAAAAUGUCAGAUCGGAUGCACAGAAAAAUGGCCCAAAUUGUUUAAUGACUAGAAGAAAUAUAGGAGCAGCAAGAAUGUAAUGUGAAGAGGGGAGGGCCUCCAUGACCGGUGUCUGCAGAGCCAGGGGUACAGGCACACACUGUUGUGGCCUGGCACCACCAGCGUCUCAGAGGGUGGGUGGCACACUGUCCUUACCCGGAGGACAGCAGGCCUGAUCACCAGCUUUUCUACAUGUCCCUGUAAGCAUCACGUUGCUAGAAGAAAAUCUCAUGCCAGAGCUUGGACCAUCCCUAGCUCAGAGGUUAGGGGUUGUCUCUUGGUGACCUAAAUGAAAAAAUAAGUCCAGAUCAGAGUUCCUGACGCAGAGCACUCAUCCACUCUUUGAAUCGUGGGAGGGGAGGCCUCGUUUUAGGUAAACCUAACCUCUUUGAGGAACCACAGAGCCCAAGACUGGAAACCUUCAGAAUCUUCUGGCCCCCAACCCUCCCUGGGGACCCCUGUGGCCUGUCUCACCAGAGCACUCUUCUGUCUGUAGAUGUCUCAGCUGCUCUACAAGGGGGUCCCAUUUCAGGUGUGGGGCUAGGCAUGGUCACUCCUGCUGGAUGUCUAGAAGGUGGAAAUUAAGGACCAAGAAAAUACCAGAUACAGCCUUUCCACCCUCAUCCAGAGCAGGACAAACAGGCCAGGUGGUGUCAGGAGCCCAGGUCUCCAGCUGGAGGGAACGUCAACCCUGCAGUGGGAGCAGGGGCCCAUCGCACAUCCUAGGCACAGAUGCUAAUGUAGGCACCGCAGGAAUUCUAGUGACUAUGUUGCCACCAUCUUGGAGCUCCAUGCCCUCAUAGUAUAGUGGCACCAGCAGAUCUGCCUGUGCAUGGACUUCCUGUACUACCUCACUCCUGAGGGGAGAUGCUUCUGCAGGGCCUAUGAACUGGUGCACAACUUUAGCCACCAUCGUCCUGGAGCAGCGCUACACCCUCACUAGCCAGGGUGUCGACAGCCUCAAGGCCAAGGCCACAUUCAAGACUUUGGACUUCACUGAUGCACUUGUGCCGAGCAAGCUGUUUUGCAGAUCCUGGUCAGAGUAAAACAUUCCAUGGGAACUCGGGCUGUGAGAAGCAUCCUAACCACCUGACUGCAGAAACAUCCUUAUCACAUCCUGCUGGGCAAAGGCCCAACAGCCUGACUUCAGGAACAUCCUUAUCAUCUUCUACUGGGCAGCAAGCUAUACUGUCCAGAGCGCUCCCUCCCAGCCCCAUGAUUACCCCAGCCUGUGAGCGGCAGUGGGUGCUGACACUAAGCUGGUUUCCCCCUCCGCAGGGUUUUGCUAGUAAUAAACCUGUGUUGCUGUUGAAGCGGC
RNAcentral lists this small RNA (4091 nucleotides) under Pongo abelii (Sumatran orangutan). Its description in RNAcentral is "retained intron". The record is from RNAcentral. Lineage: Eukaryota; Metazoa; Chordata; Mammalia; Primates; Hominidae.